Molecule: ribosomal RNA, 924 nt
Filed under: [Candida] sp. CBMA1.18
Lineage: Eukaryota; Fungi; Ascomycota; Saccharomycetes; Saccharomycetales
Description: eukaryotic LSU rRNA
Rfam family: Eukaryotic large subunit ribosomal RNA (bases 320-924)
Source: RNAcentral
AAGGAUCAUUAGAGAAUACAUUACACACUGGGUACGAUACCACAGCAACAAAAUUUUAUCAGUCGAAACUUACAAAAUCAAAACUUUCAACAACGGAUCUCUUGGUUCUCGCAUCGAUGAAGAACGCAGCGAAAUGCGAUACGUAGUAUGACUUGCAGACGUGAAUCAUCGAAUCUUUGAACGCACAUUGCGCCUCGAGGCAUUCCUCGAGGCAUGCCUGUUUGAGCGUCGGCCCCCCUCUAACCCUCGGGUUAGGCGUUGCCCCACGAAAUACCAAGCGCAUUCAAUCUCAUGUUUUUGAACACGCCCCCCCCUAUUUCGCCCUCAAAUCAGGUAGGACUACCCGCUGAACUUAAGCAUAUCAAUAAGCGGAGGAAAAGAAACCAACCGGGAUUGCCUCAGUAACGGCGAGUGAAGCGGCAAAAGCUCAAAUUUGAAAUCCUGCGGGAGUUGUAAUUUGAAGGUUUCGGGUUCAGAGGCUGUGCGCGCCCAAGUCCAUUGGAACAUGGCGCCUGGGAGGGUGAGAGCCCCGUCCGGCGCGGCGCAGCCCUCGUUGCGGCCCGAUUCCGACGAGUCGAGUUGUUUGGGAAUGCAGCUCAAAGUGGGUGGUAAAUUCCAUCUAAAGCUAAAUAUUGGCGAGAGACCGAUAGCGAACAAGUACAGUGAUGGAAAGAUGAAAAGCACUUUGAAAAGAGAGUGAAACAGUACGUGAAAUUGUUGAAAGGGAAGGGCUUGCAAGCAGACACGGUUUCGGCCGGGCCAGCAUCGGUUUGUCGGGGCGGACAAUGCGGCGGGAAUGUGGCACGCGCCCUUGUGGCGCGUGUGUUUAUAGCCCGGCGAGAUACGCCCACGGCAGACCGAGGCCUGCGAUCCUUGAUCUAGGAUGCUGGCGUAAUGGUUGCAAGCCGCCCGUCUUGAAACACG